This 209-nucleotide unclassified non-coding RNA is filed under the name Hevea brasiliensis (rubber tree). The record is from RNAcentral. Lineage: Eukaryota; Viridiplantae; Streptophyta; Magnoliopsida; Malpighiales; Euphorbiaceae.
CGUGAAAGGAUUUAUCAGUUGGUACAGGAAUAGAACCGCAGAGAAAACCGACGGGUUUGGGUCGAACGAUUUCGAGUGUCCCAACGCACUGAAGUUCUCUGGAGCCAUCAAAGGAGGUCGAUGGUGAUGAUGGAGGCGAUGGUUUCUCCAUAGAAUUUUGUAUAAAAUUUUUAUCUCUCGUCUGCUUCAGUUAGGUUUCAGCGUGGCUG